AAAAACUGAGGUGGAUACCGCCACACCAAAGGCUACUGGGAAAAGAGGAUUUGCAGAGACUGUUGAUUUGAAGCUUAACCUUCAGGCAAAGGAUGGUGUCAUGGAUCUGAAUGAUAAUCUCAAGAAUGCUUCUAAGGACAAGAACCACCUUCCUGCUGCUACCAUCAAGGACCCGGCCAAGCCACCAGCCAAGUGAGUCCUUUUUUUCCUAUUUUUUUCCUCCGUAAGCUCCUCAAUUUAAAGAUAAUUGUAGCAUUAUUAUACAUAUGCACUAGUAUUAAUUGAUAAAAAGGAAAUUAAAGAGAUGUGUAAUGGAUUUCAGGGCACAAGUUGUGGGUUGGCCACCAGUUAGAUCUUACAGAAAGAACAUUAUGGCGCAGAAAAACAGCAGCGAGGAAGGUGAGAAAGCAAGCGGCAAUAGCGCAGCAUUUGUGAAGGUUUGCAUGGAUGGUGCACCUUAUCUUCGUAAGGUAGACCUGAAGAUGUACAAAAGC
This 494-nucleotide long non-coding RNA is filed under the name Manihot esculenta (cassava). Its description in RNAcentral is "long non-coding RNA (MESC_LNC008853)". The record is from RNAcentral. Lineage: Eukaryota; Viridiplantae; Streptophyta; Magnoliopsida; Malpighiales; Euphorbiaceae.